Molecule: unclassified non-coding RNA, 7412 nt
Filed under: Dimorphilus gyrociliatus
Lineage: Eukaryota; Metazoa; Annelida; Polychaeta; Dinophilidae
Description: dgyrCDS6076
Source: RNAcentral
AGUUGCUAGGCUACAUGAUUGUAAACAAUCAUGUUUCGAAUGCGGUUAAUUCUAUAAAAACUAAUUUUUGAACCAUGCCACCAAAGAGAGGUAAAAGUGGAGAGAGAAAAGGAGGUCAAGAUGGUGAUGCCGCUUGGGAAACAAAACUAGCUAAUACAGUAUUUUCAGAAGAGACUGAGGAUGGAUGGAUUGCAACAAUAGCCUGUCUCGUUGGCAACCGAUAUGAAGAUUACGCAUUAAUAAAUAGCAUCGAGGACACUAUAAGAUCAAAAUCCAGAAGACUGUUUUCGACAUUUUCCAAGAGUGAAUUGUACAACGAGUCAGUUGAAUUUGGAAGCUCAAAAGGCAAAAAAGGAAAGGAUGCCCCUCAAUUUGUCGAGGUUUACGAAUAUUGUAAAGAAUAUUUAGAUAAUAAUGAGGAGGUUCCGUUGCAAGUUCAAGCAAAAUUGAUUAAGGCGAAAUUACUUGCUAUAAAAAAAGAAGAUCAUGCCAGAAGAGAAGUAGAACGAAAGUGGCGUGAGGAAAGAGAGCGCAGACGGGCAGGUCAGAGCGAUGGUGAUGGAAAGAAAGGUAAAAAAGAUAGAGGAAAAUCACCGAAAGGGAAAGUGGGCAAAAAGACUCCGGAACCAUCAGCGCCUAAAAAUGAAAGUAAAUUGCAAAAGAGAGGAGAGGAAGACUUAGACUCGAAGUAUAUUGAUGAUGAACCAGAUGAUGGUAGCAAACACUAUAUUGUUAUACAUGGAUUCAAUCAUCCUCACUUGUUUUCUUUUCUUUCGGAAAUUGGCAUUCACGUUGAUGUGAUCUAUAAAGUUAAAAUGGAUGAUUAUAGUAGAUUCGAUAAAUCUGAAGAUGAAAUUGUUGAAGAGAAAACAGAAAAACAACUAUUAGUUGAAGAGGAGGAGAGAAAGAGAUUAGAGGCUCUGACGAGAGAACUGGAUAUGUUCUGGAGAGAUAUUACACCCGUCUUACAAAUGAGUUCUGCAUCGCCUAAAUUGCACGACUUGCCAAUUUUGCCGUUUGAUAUCAACAGUGCAUCCAUUCCAAUUGAUUUUCAAAAUAGUGAUAAAAAGGCUGAGGUUAGCUCCUCUCUUUUCGAAAAGCUAGCAUGUGAUACCUAUGAUUUAUUGGAUUGGAAACGACAAUGGCGAAAUUUCAUUGAAAAUCUCAAACUAUACCAUGUUCCUGGGGUUUCUUCUGCAGCAUUAGCAAAUGAUUCUCCUGGUACAGCAGCUCCUACUCCCGCCCCAACAAGUGCUCCCCCUAUAGUAGAUGAUUUAAGCUCAGACGUUGACAUGCGUUACUAUAAAGAUUUAAUGGACUGCAUACCUCACGAAAGCGUUUCAGUUCCUUUGAUAGUAAAUUGUAUGGUAGAGCAAGUUGCUGCAACAGCAGAGCAUCGAUUACCACCUUCUGCAGAAACUAAACUCCCAAGAGCGGACGGACUAUGUGACUCUUUGGCUGAUCAUUUAAACAGAUUGGCUUCAAACAUGGCUCUCGAUCCUAAUGAAGUUAGAGCCUUAUCUUCUGAAUACGAGAUUCCAGAUAAAAAGUUGGAUGGAAAUCGUCAUCCUCUGCUCAUCAACUACUCUGACGAAGCAAAGACCCGACUAAGAAACCUACAAACGAACAUUGAUCUAUUUAAUCCUCUACAAACAGAAAGCUACAUGAACACGAGAUUCCCAACAAAUACUCUCCUUGCUCCUCCGGAAUCGCCUCCAGAAAAAGCUAAAUUGAAAAGAAUUUCUAGAUUACAAGAACUUUUAACAUUUUGUUCGACACCUGGUAUCUCGAAAAACGAAGUAGAUAUAAUUUUACGGCAAUUUGUUUUUGAAUGUCUAAGGUCAACAGAAGUUGAUGAAAAUGGACAGGUUGUAAAAUUUUAUGGAAAAAAUCUUAUUCCGUGGGAUGAUCCUUAUCCAUAUUAUCAUGGAAUUCUUGGUAUUUUUAAUAUAGAGGAAGAGGAUAAAUUCCCCGUUACGCCUGUUAGACAAGAAAGUGUAGAAGUUCCUACGACAAGACCUGAAUCUCGGUUAUCGGAGAAGUCUUCAUCGGGUGAAUCGGCAGAAAUUAGCACUCAAAAGUCAAGUAAAAAAGAGCGAAAAAGCCGAUCAAAAUCUAAAAGAGGUAAAAACAGCGCCGAUAAAGCAGUUAGGGUUACUGAAGAACCUGUUGAAGUAGUUCCGCCACCAUCUCCUAAAGAAACUGGUGGAAUACUGAAAGAUUCUAAAAGACCGCGGUCCUCGUCCUCUCGUGACUCAAGUGUGCACUUUGAAAGAGAUGAUAUUGGUCUGACGGUCUCUCACCCUGGAGACGAGUUCGAAACCAUAGAUCAAGCGUCAAUACUUGAUAGAUUAUCAGAUAUUGUUGAGGCUCAACGGAGAAACCUCGAUCAGUGGACUUUUGUCGAACAAUUAGAUAUAAAUGUUCUACAUCAGGUUAUUAAAGAAGCCUCAUAUACACUACCUUAUAUGGAUACUUUGUAUUCAAGACGAGACAACAAACUCUUGGUUAUGCUGAGUAAUCCUUAUGAUAAAAAACUUCUAGCAAACUAUGAUAAAUGGGAGUCCCAUUCACAUACGGACGUUCAUUUCCGUAAUUAUUUAGAACAUGUGGCAUGGAGAAUUGAAGAAUGGAUCACGGCAGAAGAAGCAAAAUAUGAGGCUACUAAAACAGCCAAGGAGAGUGCUCUAUUCCAAAAAGAGUUUGAAGAAUUAGAAGCUGCAAAGGCAAGAGAAGCCAACGCAGAAAAUGAUAAAAAAAAGAAAAAGGAUCGAUCAAAAUCACCAAAGAGGAAGAAAGCUGAUGACUCAUCAAGAUCGUCAACUCCUGAAGAUUCUGAACCUUUUGUCAGGCAAAAUUCUAUCAAAGCGUACUUAAAAGACAAAGAACGAGAAUUUGCAGAGGAAGAGGAAAAAAAGAAAGCUCUGGAAGAGAAGAGAGCUAAUUCUGCUAAAAAAAGGAAGGAGGCCGAAAAAGAAGAAAAGGGUAAAAGAAGUAAAAGUCCAAGAAGUAGCGCAAAAUCUCGUAAAUCACGAAGAGAAACCGAAGUUGUAACGCCAGCUGGUGGACAAGAGCAAGUACCAACAGAUAACUAUUUUUCAUUUGAAGGAUAUGAUUUGGGUGACGAAAUGUUAGCGGCAUCGGGGAUAACUUACAACAUGUUUCCAUCUGAUGGUUCACUCAUUAGAACCAAUAUUACUGAAUUUGUCGAAGGUUCAAAAACAGUUCAUACCGCUUUAAUAAAAGAUAAGCAUCAGCUCUUGGUUCAUAUAAUAAAUCCAAAGGAUGUCGUUAUUACUCCUUUUUCGGAAGAUGAUGUAAAAGAAAAGUCAGAAACAGAAAAACCUGAGAAAGAGACUGCAGAAACUGAAAUUACUGAGAAACAUUCAAGCCAAACGGAAGCAGAGCUCCGAAAACCUUUAAAACCUAUUGUUGGUGAAUAUGCAUCUUUUAGUGCAACUUUGGCUGAUGGAAUCUGUUUAGCGUUUAGCACAUAUGGUAAAACUGGACGAGUAGAUGGAGGUGAAAUAUACAAACCCGAACCCUACGUAACACCACACAUUAGAACACCUACACCAACAGCCCCUGUAGGUGGAAAGGAAUCAGUGGCUAGCAAGAAGAAAGCAAAAGGUACUAAAGAAAAGAAAGAAGACUCAGAACCUCCGCCGAUGAGAGCAAUCGGUACGCCUGCUUCAUCUUCUAAUGUUCUAGACGGUGAAAGAAAAUCAGUGAAAACAGAAAAUUAUGAAGAAUGCUCUUUUUUGAAACUGCAAUUUUCUACACCUUCAGGAUUGGUUGUAACAUUUCUUAAAAGGGAUGAUAGCAUAGUGGUACAACAACAAUAUGCCUUCAAAACGAAGGAGAUUGAACCCUGCAAAGAAAUCAGCGAUAUAGCUGGAAAUGAGGAGAAAAGAAUGUAUUCCAGCGACGGUUCUUUAUUAAUAUUUUCCAAUAAUCCAACAGCAACAAAAAUUUUAUAUCCUGAUGGUAAGAUGACUGAAUAUUCAACAACAAUAGUGCCCAACGAUAAAGCAGUUGGAAGCCGCAACACUUCUCCACAAAGGGGUACAAGUCCAAAAGAUGCCCCUAAACGUGCUGGGCGAAGAAAACAUAGUCCAAAAAUUGAGGAUGAAGUAGCUGAAACUGUUACUAGAGAAAAAUGGUAUUCUGUUCAGCCGACAGGAGAACGACUAAUUACUAUUAAAGAGGGCGAGAAUACAGAAAACAUACCUAUUGAUCCACUUCUAAAAUGUGAAUGCUUUGAUCCAUCAAGUAAUCAAGUUAUGAUCACAAGAGACGACAAAACUAUUAUUGUGAAACAUGCUGAUGGAACUAUUAUAUCGGAACACCCUGAUGGGACUAGAUUCACAACUUAUAGUCAUGAGGAUAAAAAUUCUGGAAAGAUUACUAAGUUGAUAAAAAUUGAAAAUCCAGCCUACUGUACAGUAACUUUUGACUCUUCAUCUGGUGAAUGUCACGUGGAAACUGCUUCUAGAACAAUUAUAAACGCUUUUCCUGCGGGAAAUUAUGAGUUACAUCAUGCUGAUGGAUCUUUUAUGAGAAUUGAGCAAAAUGGGGGUGUUUCUUUCUCUCCAAAACCUAACGAUUUUCAAUUGGCUAAUCCUCAGCAACCACUCAUUUAUCAUAUGCGUCACGAUGCUGAUGUGAUCCUUUAUUCUGUCGAUAACAACGGAAAUCGAUUUUCAGUCAGAAAUACUGGUCUGUCAAGCGCAACAUUGGUUGAAAAAACUGCAACUGCUCCUCGAUCAAGUGAAGAAGAUACUAUUAUGACAAUGGAAAACAGAACACCAUCUCUGACUGCACCUGAGGAAAAAGAUGAAAGUGAAGGACGGAAAAUUAAUAUAGAAUGUUAUGAUGAGCAUGCUCCCAGAUUUUUUGUAAUAAAUCCCGAUGGCAGAUCUGGUAUGGAACUUCUUCGAUAUCAGGAAGUUGCAGAGUGGAUAACAAAUGCGGAGGCUGAUCCAUUUACCGCUAUUAUUGUUGAUCAAGUUGCUGAUCGUCCUAAAAUUUCUUCAAUAUCAACUUUAAUCCCAUUCACAAAGAGUGUCUCGCAAAGAUGGAUAAAAUCCUAUGAUGACAAUUCAAUUGUACCCCCUGGUCUUACUUUGAGAGAUUUAACAACUUUUCCGCCUCAGGAAGAGAAAACGAUGGGGCCAGGUUUUGGAACAAAUGCAGGUCGAGGUCUUGAGAUCGGUAGCAGAGAGGCUCCAUGCUUAUCUCCAUUACCUAAAUGCCCUGAUACUUUACAAAUUCGACAAGUCUUGCAAUACACAGCUCUGACUCCUGAAAUUCGAGAAGAGUUUUCAAAUGGUAUAAAGUCGUAUGCAGAUUUUGUAGUCUCAAGAUUUAAGGAUACACAGACCGUAGGAAUUGAAGAAUAUCGCAGCGAAAGUGAACAACUUAUGGCCGACACUUUAUUAGAAGAUAGUGGUACAGUUCAUUUGAUUGAGGACCGUCAAAGCGUCACAUCACUAAUCGAGGAGAGAGAAGAUCAACAAAAUACAUUCAGAAUAGAAUCUUCUAACGUCCGCAGUGUCUAUGAAAGAUCAACUGCUCCCAAAGUACCAUCCCCUAUACCUCCUCCUUUACCAAAAAGGACAGCAGAGGACUGGGAGCAAGAUAAAAAGGAACUUGAAAAAGAAAUGGAGCAUCGUAAAGUACUUAGAAAUAAAUAUGUUCCUCCCUACUUUCAAAGCCAAUUUGGAAAAUCGUACUUGGAUUCACUAGAGUCAAAAAACAACAAAGAUGAAGAAGAGUCGGAGAGCGUUGAGCCAAAAAAAGUUGCAGCUCCUCCGGAGGAAGAAAAAUCUGCUCCUGCUGGAUACGAAGAAGAAACGCCCUCGCCAAAUCAAGGUUUGAUAGAAUAAUAAAACGCUUUAAAGAAAUUCCGCUUAAUUAUUUUGACGCACACAUUUUUGCUUUUAUGAGCACUUGUUUAGAACUAAAAUCCUUUACAGAAUUGCUGUUUGCCUGUGAUAGUGCCGAAAAUGGCAAGCUCAGUAAGUUUUCAGAUUGUUGUCUUCAAUUACAUACAACUUUUCUGAUAUCUUUUUUUUAACUAUCUGCUGUUUACAAUACCGAUUCACUCUUAAAAUUACCUGUUUCCGUUGUUUUUAUGACUUUCAGUUAUGAUCUAUAUCUAGAUAUAAUUUUUAAUCUAGGUGUAACAGGAAAUACUCCAUCAUCUAUUAGGCCUACCAAUCCAACUCCUGGAGUCGCAGGAGGUAGAACAUCUCCAACAGCUGUACGGCCUACGGCUCCUACCCCUGUUCACGCCGUUACGCAAAUGCAGCCAGCAAGACCGGAAGCUCCGACUCCAAAUCAAGAACGAGAAGAAACGAAAGCUACCAUGAUGACAACUAGUUCAUCUCAGUCGUAUCAUGCCGUUGCCAAUGAUCGCUUCAACACAAUUGAAGAUCCGGUUAGACGAAAAGUUCUAACCGCUCCUAUUGCUGGAGCUACACCAUCUGGCGUAGAGAAUUUACUGCAACUUAGAGGUUUUAUCCUACAACCCGAUACUGCUGACUUUGGUUGUUUGAAAGAAGGGAACACUUAUAAUUUACGAAUCACUCUCCGCAAUACAGGACAUGACACUUGUAGAUUUAAAGUAAAACAACCUCCUGUAACUACAGGUAUUCGUAUUCUCUAUAAACCUGGUCCUGUGGCGGCUGGAAUGAAAGCGGAAAUGACUAUACAAAUCUUUGGGCUUUUAUCAAAUGCUGUCGAAGGUGUAGCAGCCGUAAAGCAUGAGUUAGAAAUAAUAACCGAAACACACGUUCUUUACCUACCGAUAACAGCUACGGUCUUAUCACAAGAGGCUUACUUGGAACAAGCACCGAGAUCAGUAAAGAAAAACCCAAAUGUCAGGCUUAUUUCGACAGCAGCUCCAGUAUUAACAAAACCUCGAAGAAUUUACGAACAAUCGAAACCUAACAUACCAGCCUCGUUACCUAUUAAGGCUCCUACGCCCCCUCCCAAAGCAAAAAACAAAGAGGCAGUAGUGGCCAAUUAAAAGCCGUUAAGAGUUUUAUUGCACGCUAUAUAAUUUUUGAUGGAACGCGUUACUAAUAACUGAACACGGAAGUCUACGAGUAACAGAACAUUUCUAAUUCAUCUUCUCCUCCUGGACAUUGGCUUACACCAUCACACAAUUCUUUUUCCUUUAUACAGCGACCUGUUAGAUCAUAUCCAUUGCCUGUUUUCUUCCUUAACGGACAUGCGAACAUUUUGCCUGACGGCUGCGAAGAUUCGUAUCCUCUCUCAUAACAAUCUAUAAGUUUAAUUAAGUAUUGAAUAUAAAUUUUAUAAUUAUAAAAUUUCAUGAUGAUAUAAUACAUAUAUUUAUAUAUUCAAUUAUAAAAUACAAACAAACUAACUUAAUGAAGAAAUGA